CGAGAGUAAGCUAGUCUCUUAAAGCCGUUCUCAGUUCGGACUGUAGGCUGCAACUCGCCUACACGAAGUCGGAAUCGCUAGUAAUCGCGGAUCAGCCACGGCGCGGUGAAUACGUUCCCGGGCCUUGUACACACCGCCCGUCAAGCCAUGGAAGCCGGGAGUGCCUGAAGUACGCGACCGCAAGGAGCGUCCUAAGGUAAAACCGGUGACUGGGGCUAAGUCGUAACAAGGUAUC
Molecule: ribosomal RNA, 235 nt
Filed under: uncultured bacterium
Lineage: Bacteria
Description: partial 16S ribosomal RNA
Rfam family: Bacterial small subunit ribosomal RNA
Source: RNAcentral